UUGGGAUUCUCUUUCUCUCCCUCUCACGUGUUCUCUCUCUCUCUCUCAAAACAGAUAAACACACUUAAAAAAAAUAAUUAAAAACAAAUCAAUUCAGUAGGGUAUGGCUAGAAUUUUAUUUUAUUUUUUUAAGUAGGCUUCACCCCCAGGAUGGAGCCCAAUGCAGGGCUUGGGCUCACAACCCUGAGAUCAAGACCUGACCUGAGAUCAGGAGUCAGAUGCUCAACCAACUGAGCCACUCAGGCACUCCUUAAAAAGUGAAACAGAAUAAGGAAAUAUCAGAGAUUACCACAGGUGGUAAGGCUAAGUGUUUGAUCAAAUUUUUAAAUUUUUAAAAAAUGUUUAUUUUAUUUUUGAGAGAAAGUGAGUGUGAGCAGGGGAGGAGCAGAGAGAGAGGGAGACACAGAAUCCCAAGCAGGCUCCAGGCUCUGAGCUGUCAGUACAGAGCCUGAGGCAGGGCUCAAACCCACAAACCAUAAGAUCAUGACCUGAGCCAAAGUCAGACGCUUAGCUGACUGGGCCACCCAGGUGCCCCUGUUUGGUCAAAUUUUAUAGGCAUUCAGCUGCAAUGUAAGAUGCAUUUCAUUCAGAAAGAUCUGAAAGAUGAGAUUUUUUUUUUAAGGAUUCAUUUCUAGAAUGGGACAUCUUACAUAGUAUUCUGUGUUAAUUUUGGUAGAGUUUAAAUCAGCAGUCCCAUAAAGAAAAAAAACACUUGCUGAAAUUUAAGGGAAGGCCCUUUUUAUUAAGCUUGUACAUUUUAUUCUCUUCCUUUCAGAAGCCUAAUAAAAAAAAAUUUGUUACUGCUUACUUAAAAAACACACACACACACA
Neofelis nebulosa (Clouded leopard) is the source of this 830-nucleotide long non-coding RNA. RefSeq lists it as uncharacterized. The transcript has 2 exons. Lineage: Eukaryota; Metazoa; Chordata; Mammalia; Carnivora; Felidae. The record is from RefSeq and is a predicted model, not a curated record.